Long non-coding RNA from Rhagoletis zephyria (snowberry fruit fly), 113 nucleotides. RefSeq lists it as uncharacterized. The record is from RefSeq and is a predicted model, not a curated record. NCBI's taxonomy places the organism in Eukaryota, Metazoa, Arthropoda, Insecta, Diptera, Tephritidae.
AUAAAAACUUAACGAAAAAUAUUUGAAAUGAAAAACAUUGGAAAUAAAAAAAAAAUCACUGCAUGACUACACAUUUCGGGACAAGACGAAUUUAUAAAUAAAGUGGUGUUGUU